This 477-nucleotide long non-coding RNA is filed under the name Homo sapiens (human). RNAcentral's name for it is "HSALNT0057775". The record is from RNAcentral. Lineage: Eukaryota; Metazoa; Chordata; Mammalia; Primates; Hominidae.
CUUGGGAAGGAAUUAGGAAACUUACUACUCUGCUUACAAAGCCAGUGGUUUUGGUGCUGGGGUCUGGUUUACAACCCUGGCUGGGAGACUGGCCUCAGGGAAGAGGGUAUCCCAGCCCAGGGCUCAAGGACUAACUCAUUAGGAGCCCUCCUUCCAGAAGGCGCUGUUCAUUUACACCAACAGGUGUAUGUAUACCUGUUGUUUAUGUCCAUUUACAAAAUUCUCCUAAAGCAAUUUAAUAGUGAAAGAAAACCUGGCACAUCAAAAACCGGACUCCGUAUUUACAAGAUUCUAUAGAAAGAGGUCAUGUCAGCAUACAGCAAGAUGGCAGCCACCUAGAAACCAAGAGAAGAGGCCUCAAGAUAAAACCUACCUUGCCAACACCUGGACUUCCCAUCCAUUGGUCUAUGAGAAAUAUAUUUUUGUUGUUUAAACCACCAGUCUGUGUAUUUUGUUGUGGCAGUCCUAGCUGACUAA